GCAUAGAAUGCUUUAUUAUAAAGGGGAUUUUUUGUUGGUGAACCGUUGUGCCGUCUAUGCUGCCUGGUACUGUGUGGCAAUUAUUUUCAUGGUAAAAUAACAUUUUCAUUCAUAUGAUGCCAACUGAUGUGGCUCAUGAAAUUAAAUGUAUAUUUUGGAAUGUCAGUUGAGUUUAACCAACAAAUCACAGCAUAUAUUGAUUGGUACACUUCCUACUUUUACUUCCUACUUUACCGUUUUGUUCCAAUGCGUACACUUACAAUCAAAUCAAACUGUAUGUGUCACAUGCUUCUUAAACAACAGCUGUAGACUAACAGUGAAAUGCUUCUUAAACAACAGCUGUAGACUAACAGUGAAAUGCUUCUUAAACAACAGCUGUAGACUAACAGUGAAAUGCUUCAUAAACAACAGCUGUAGACUAACAGUGAAAUGCUUCAUAAACAACAGCUGUAGACUAACAGUGAAAUGCUUCAUAAACAACAGCUGUAGACUAACAGUGAAAUGCUUCAUAAACAACAGGUGUAGACUAACAGUGAAAUGCUUCUUAAACAACAGCUGUAGACUAACAGUGAAAUGCUUCUUAAACAACAGCUGUAGACUAACAGUGAAAUGCUUCAUAAACAACAGCUGUAGACUAACAGUGAAAUGCUUCAUAAACAACAGGUGUAGACUAACAGUGAAAUGCUUCUUAAACAACAGGUGUAGACUAACAGUGAAAUGCUUCAUAAACAACAGCUGUAGACUAACAGUGAAAUGCUUCAUAAACAACAGCUGUAGACUAACAGUGAAAUGCUUCAUAAACAACAGCUGUAGACUAACAGUGAAAUGCUUCAUAAACAACCGGUGUAGACUAACAGUGAAAUGCUUCUUAAACAACAGCUGUAGACUAACAGUGAAAUGCUUCUUAAACAACAGGUGUAGACUAACAGAGAAAUGCUUACUUACAGGCCCUUCCCAUCAAUGCAGAGGAAUAAAUACACAAUGAGAAAUGAUAACUUGUCUAUUAUAUACACGGGGUACUAGUACCGAGUCGAUGUGCAGGGGUACGAGGUAAUUGAGUUAAAUCCAGUAUGUACAUAUAGGUAUGGAUAAAGCUACUAGGCAACAGGAUAGAUAAUAAACAGUAGCAGCAGGAUAUGGGAUGAGUCAAAAUAAUUAGUGCAAAUAGGGUCAAUGCAGAGAGUUAAAUAGUUAACCAAUUGUUACCCAGACUAACUAUGUCUUAUGGCUUGGGGGUAGAAGCUGUUCAGGGUCCUGUUGGUUCCAGACUUGGUGCAUUGGUACCACUUGCUGUGCGGUAGCAGAGAAAACAGUCUAUGACUUGGGUGGCUGGAGUCUUUGACAAUUUUUAGGACCUUCCUCUGACACCACCUGGUAUAGAGGUCCUGGGUGGCAGGACGCUUUUGCCCCAGCUAUGCCGCACGCACUACCCUCUGCAGCGCCUUGUAGUCGGAUGCCAAGCAGUUGCCAUACCAAGCGGUGAUGCAGCCAGUCAAAAUACUCUCAAUGGUGCAGCUGUAUAACGUUUUGAGGAUCUGAAGGUCCAUGCCAAAUUGGAGAUGGUGCUUUGAUGGUGCUUUGAUGGUGCUUUGAGGUGGAGAAGGUGCCUUGAGGUGGAGAUGGUGUCUUGAGGUGGAGAUGGUGCUUUGAGGUGGAGUCUUGAGGUGGAGAUGGUGCUUUGAGGUGGAGAAGGUGUCUUGAGGUGGAGAUGGUGUCUUGAGGUGGAGAUGGUGCUUUGAGGUGGAGUCUUGAGGUGGAGAUGGUGCUUUGAGGUGGAGAUGGUGUCUUGACUUGGAGAUGGUGCCUUGAGGUGGAGAUGGUGCUUUGAGGUGGAGAUGGUGUCUUGACUUGGAGAUGGUGCCUUGAGGUGGAGAUGGUGCUUUGAGGUGGAGAUGGUGUCUUGAGGUGGAGCUACUCACAAGGUUUUCCCCAGCUAUCACCCUCCACAGAAAGUUAAAAAGGUGAUGAGAAGGGAAAGGAGAAC
Long non-coding RNA from Oncorhynchus keta (chum salmon), 1984 nucleotides. RefSeq lists it as uncharacterized. The record is from RefSeq and is a predicted model, not a curated record. The transcript has 4 exons. NCBI's taxonomy places the organism in Eukaryota, Metazoa, Chordata, Actinopteri, Salmoniformes, Salmonidae.